CCUACGGGUGGCAGCAGUGAGGAAUAUUGGUCAAUGGACGCAAGUCUGAACCAGCCAUGCCGCGUGCAGGAAGACGGCCCUCUGAGUUUUAAAUUGUUUUUGUACGGGCGUAAACGCAGAUACGCGUAUCUGUCUGAAAGUAUCGUACGAAUAAGGAUGGGCUAACUCCGUUCCAGAAGCCGCGGUAAUACGGAGGAUUCAAGCGUUAUCCGGAUUUAUUGGGUUUAAAGGGUGCGUAGGCGGUAGGAUAAGUUAGAGGUGAAAUCCAGAGGCUCAACUUCGGAAUUGCAUCUGAUACUGUUCGGCUAGAGAGUAGUUGCGGUAGGCGGAAUGUAUGGUGUAGCGGUGAAAUGCUUAGAGAUUAGACAGAACACCGAUUGCGAAGGCAGCUUACCAAGCUACUUCUGACGUUGAGGCACGAAAGCGUGGGGAGCAAACAGGAUUAGAUACCCGGGUAGUC
Molecule: ribosomal RNA, 460 nt
Filed under: uncultured bacterium
Lineage: Bacteria
Description: partial 16S ribosomal RNA
Rfam family: Bacterial small subunit ribosomal RNA
Source: RNAcentral